CUGUGUGAAUAGCACUUUUUUUUUUUUUGGUUUUGGUUUUGGUUUUGGUUUUUUGAGACAGGGUUUCUCUGUAUAGCCCUGGCUGUCCUGGAACGGACUCUGUAGACCAGGCUGGCCUCGAACUCAGAAAUCCUCCUGCCUCUGCCUCCCAAGUACUGGGAUUAAAGGCAAGUGCCACCAUUGCCCGGUGUGAAUAGCACUCUUAAGGAGCCCAAGAGCAGCCUGGGAGGAUGGAUCAGUGAUGAGAGAAGCCCUAGCGAAGGGACCAUGUGAAGAGGAAGGAGAAGAUGCACAGGCCAUCAAGAUGGAACCAACCUUCAAAUGCAAUGAACUCUAAAGCCAGAGGCCUGGUCUGGCUGUGACAUCAUGUUCUGAGUUAUCAACUUUCCUCGGAGAACAAGGCACACAACUCCUAGCCUUACCAAUUGAGAUGGACUGGUUUCCAAGACAGAUGUCUAGACAAUGCAUUCGAUGUUAAUGAGACAAAGCCGGUAAUGUCGGACAAAGUAG
RNAcentral lists this long non-coding RNA (510 nucleotides) under Mus musculus (house mouse). Its description in RNAcentral is "predicted gene, 48265". The record is from RNAcentral. Lineage: Eukaryota; Metazoa; Chordata; Mammalia; Rodentia; Muridae.